RNAcentral lists this ribosomal RNA (464 nucleotides) under uncultured bacterium. Its description in RNAcentral is "partial 16S ribosomal RNA". It matches the Rfam family "Bacterial small subunit ribosomal RNA", at positions 28 to 507 of the family's 1533-position model. The record is from RNAcentral.
GACGAACGCUGGCGGCGUGCUUAACACAUGCAAGUCGAACGGAAAGGCCCAGCUUGCUGGGUUCUGAGGUGCGAACCGGGUGGGUAACCGGUGGGUGAUUUGCCCCUACCUUCGGGUUAGGUUUGGGAAACUGGGCCUAUUCCCGGAUGGACAAUUCGUUUGGUGUCGUUGUUGAAAAGUUUUUUCGGUUUGGGUUGACCCCGCGGCCUAUCAGCUUGUUGGUGGGGUAAUGGCCUACCAAGGCGUCGACGGGUAGCCGGCAUGAGAGGGUGGACGGCCACAUUGGGACUGAGAUACGGCCCAGACUCCUACGGGAGGCAGCAGUGGGGAAUAUUGCACAAUGGGCGCAAGCCUGAUGCAGCGACGCCGCGUGGGGGAUGACGGCCUUCGGGUUGUAAACCUCUUUCGACAGGGACGAAGCUUUGGUGACGGUACCUGUACAAGAAGCACCGGCUAACUACGUG